CAGUCGCCGCGGGAAUACGGAGGGUGCAAGCGUUAAUCGGAAUUACUGGGCGUAAAGCGCACGCAGGCGGUCUGUCAAGUCAGAUGUGAAAUCCCCGGGCUUAACCUGGGAACUGCAUUUGAAACUGGCAGGCUAGAGUACGGUAGAGGGGGAUGGAAUUCCGCGUGUAGCAGUGAAAUGCGUAGAUAUGCGGAGGAACACCGAUGGCGAAGGCAAUCCCCUGGACCUGUACUGACGCUCAUGCACGAAAGCGUGGGGAGCAAACAGGAUUAGAUACCCGGGUAGUCCCUGUCUCUUAUAC
RNAcentral lists this ribosomal RNA (301 nucleotides) under uncultured bacterium. Its description in RNAcentral is "partial 16S ribosomal RNA". It matches the Rfam family "Bacterial small subunit ribosomal RNA", at positions 509 to 807 of the family's 1533-position model. The record is from RNAcentral.